UGUUGGCAGUGAAACAUCGAUACUUCCUCAAGACACCACAAGAUUGAUCUUAAUAUAAUCGAUUUUUAAAUGAACAACGUAUUUUUACUGAAUGUUUUGGCUCUGAUAAUACAGUUGAUAAAGUGUGACACUGAAUCACCGUGAGCUUCACGUGUGUUUGAGUUUGUGUUGUAGAAAAAACUGUGCUCUUCAUAUAAACAGAGACAUGCGGAACAUGCAGCCUUAUAAAGCAGGAUUUAUACUUUCGCCCGGCUCCACUUCGCGAGCCUCCGCUGACUGCGCACGCACCUUCCCAAACGGACGAGGCUUUUAUACUUGUUGCGUUCACCAUUGUACUACUCUUUGAAACGACAGAGGGCGACAAAGAGUAAUUGUCCUCUAAAAUCGGGAAUCACUGGUGAGAAGAAGUCAUUUGCCGGUACAAGAAUUCUCGCGUGAUGAAUGAGUUGAUGAAUUAAUAAUUUCUUUGUGAACUGAUUAAAAUAAUCUUAAGCUUGGGUUUAUGUCAUAUUUGGUGCGCACACCCAAGCGAACUUGCAGACGCGUCGAGUAUAAAGCCUGUGCUAUACUUUCCGCAUGAGCAAUCCGGACGCGGACUACUUGUAUUUAUGCUACCGGUCCGUUUCCCGGACAUGUUCCAUACAUGCGCGGUAGAUCGGCUUGAACAGUAAACAAACAUGUGAACUAACAAUUGCCCAGAGUUAUUGCACAUCUGGCUGUAUUUAUAUUGUUUUAUCGACAGAUUGUGCAGGUUCGGGUAGCAACGGGCAUCUUCACACAGCCUGCGCAUGUGCAGUUGGUGCUUUUCGUACAGGUACACGGAUGUCCAUGCAGAGCCUCCGCGCACACCCUCAGAUGUCACGCGGACCAUAACGGACUCGCGCACGUGGAAAGUAUAACACAGGCUUAAAUCAGCCUUAAGAGACAUGCAUGCUUUGCCUGGCUGUUGUCAUGUGUAUUUCUGCUGUGUAAAAGCCUUAAUAUCUUAUGCUGUGGGUGAAACUCAUGUCAUGUAAUAGUUUGUGACAUCCGUCUCUGCGUUCUUAAGUUGACAGGUAUAUAUUCAGGUAUGUAUUCCAAGUAUUAUACACAUGAGGAUCUAUCUUCACACUGUAAAACUUUACUGUAAAUUUACAGGCAUUUUCUAACAGUAUUAUACUGUAUUUUUAUAAAAUAGUAAAAUGCUGUAUAUUUUACAGAAUGUCUGUAAAUAUACAGCAGUUUUCUGUUUUCAGCCCGCUAAAUUUGUAAUGCAGUAUCAUACUGUAAAUGCAUUGCAUUGUGGGAUAGAUUUAUUUUGCGCGCUCAAUUCAAAUGUGAUGUGAUGUGAACAGUGUACUACAGGCAAACUAGGUUCGUCAGCGGGAUUUAAUUGAACAGAAUAAUUAUUCGCGUUAUUAAGAUGAGCCAGUGGUUUGUGAAUCUGCGAGUAGUUUUUAAGCUUUGUGAGCUUCGUUUCGCGUUUCAAGCGUUAGCUGCCUGUGACGCAGCAAACAAUGGAUGACGCUGCCUGAGCAGACGCCAAAAUAAUCUGUCAUCUGAAUCAUCAAACCUGUGCCUGAGACGAUGAUAAAUGGACUUUGGAGCAUAAGAAGAUGGAUUAUUGUUCGUCUGAGUAUCGAUACAGCUGAACAAUGUGAUGAAGAUCCAGUGCUAAUUAGGCCUAUUCCUGAUUGCUUCCAUGUCUUCCAUGGUCCUACAGCUGCUCCCACACUUGCAGAAAUUAGAUGGUUUUACCCUUCAAGCAGGUGUAUUCAUCACUCCAUCUGAUGUCCAGCAGUCUCUACAUUUGCCAGAGAACACAACUUAUAAUUCUUGCCUUUUAGACACUUUCUCAACAUCAACCCUGAAUGUGCAUCAAAACCAAGAAAGGAAAAGUGACUUAAAAGACUGGACAUGUGUACAAAAGAACAGUACUGUAAACCCACAGGUUUCCUCUCUUCUGAAAAACUUUUAAAAAUAUAUUUCUGAAAAACCUUUCCAUUCUUUAAAAGUAAAUAA
Molecule: long non-coding RNA, 2001 nt
Organism: Onychostoma macrolepis
Lineage: Eukaryota; Metazoa; Chordata; Actinopteri; Cypriniformes; Cyprinidae
Exons: 5
Source: RefSeq, a predicted model, not a curated record